Halichondria panicea is the source of this 870-nucleotide long non-coding RNA. RefSeq lists it as uncharacterized. The transcript has 3 exons. The record is from RefSeq and is a predicted model, not a curated record. NCBI's taxonomy places the organism in Eukaryota, Metazoa, Porifera, Demospongiae, Suberitida, Halichondriidae.
GCACUUACAUUAGUUAAUGAAGGUGCUAAUGUUGAUAAAUUAGUUGCUUCACUUCUUAUCUAUCAAAUCCACCAACUCAUGAUCACUAGCUCAUUCAUGACAAGAUAUACUAGUACUGUAUGAAAGGCUGUAUUCAGAGUGCAGUUGGAGAAGAGAAUGCCAACAAAGUGGUGAAAGGUUGCCAAGUGCACUCUGUAAGAAGAGUCAGCGAAAGAGUUAACAAGUCACAAUCAAAGGCACAUAAUGCUUUCACUAUCAUGCAUCGCUUACGCCAUUCCCAACCUUGACUCAAAACCACAUGUAGAGGCUUUAUUCAAAGUUUUAUGUGGUGGCGAACCACUCUCAUCAGCCGUACAAAUCUUGGACGAGUCAGCACUGUUGAAAGACUACAGCUUGGAACAUAAGCCAAGCGAUUGGAGGGCAAGCAAAAACUGGUGCAACUGGUGGAUGAGACCAAACCACUUGAGAAUGCUCUCUCCAUGUUACUGCCUGAUGGAUCCUGACACUUUCAGGGAGUUACCUAGCUCAAUAAACGCGGUAGAAUCACACAAUCGAUUUGGCAAACCUACUCACCCACUUCCUUUAAAAGGAGCUAUGAUGGCCACGUAUAUAGGGAGGAUAUGGCAAAAGGCAUAGAGAUUAUGGCAAAGAGAAAAGGUCUCUCUACAUCAUUUGACAGCCCUUCAGAAAGUGCACGUUCCAAGAGGAAAGACCAGCAAAACCGAGCUCGUCGAAAGAGACUGCACACAGAUAAUGACCCAGAAGGUCCUCCCGACAGAAAAUGUGCAUUCAAUUCAGGUGAUCAUACACCAACAGGUCACAAGAAAACAAGACACAGUUUUAAGUUAGCAGACAGCAGCAACAAGAGAA